GGGACCAGUACGCGGCAUAUUUUACCAGGAUGCAAAGAAGUUUACUCAUUUAUUUGGUUUUAGUUGUUUGCACUGUACAGAAUAUGAUGGAUCAGGGAGUUGAUGUUUAUAUCAGCUUAAACUAUAAUUUUUUUUAGCAUUAUAAAGAUACAUAUUACAUGAUCAUUUUCUGUUUUCAUUUCAAUCAAUGAAAUGAUUAGCAUCUUGAACGACGAAUACUCAUAUUUUGGUCCAUCUCUUGGACAAGCAAUGCACUUCUAUACUGAGUAAACAGUUCACAAGGAGUUUAUCAGUACUGCUAUAUAUUCUUGUGUUUAUACAUCCUCAAAUCCAAAUAUUUGUGUUUUUACCAUAUAUAUCUGUAUAUGAAACUUCUGAGUUCUUUCAAUUCCUUCUUCUUGUAAACGCUCUAAAACAUCCACAUUUUGUAUUAUGCAGAUCUUUAAACUCUAACAACUUUAUUGGACGAAUACCUGCGACCAUUGGCUAUCUGUCAAAACUUUGAAACAUCCACAUUUUGUAUUAUGCAGAUCUAUAAACUCUAACAACUUUAUUGGACGAAUACCUGCGACCAUUGGCUAUCUGUCAAAGCUUUAUUGGCUGGAUUUAGCUGACAAUAAGCUUACUGGAACACUUCCAGUCUCUAGUGGGAGCUCACCUGGUC
Molecule: long non-coding RNA, 664 nt
Filed under: Nicotiana benthamiana
Lineage: Eukaryota; Viridiplantae; Streptophyta; Magnoliopsida; Solanales; Solanaceae
Description: long non-coding RNA (NBEN_LNC004079)
Source: RNAcentral